GAGGAAAGUCCGGGCUUCAUAGAGCAAGGUGCCAGGUAACGCCUGGGGGGCGCAAGCCUACGACAAGUGCAGCAGAGAGAAGACCGCCGAUGGCCCGCAAGGGAACAGGUAAGGGUGAAAGGGUGCGGUAAGAGCGCACCGGACGACUAGUAAUAGUUCGUAGCAGGGUAAACUCCACCUGAAGCAAGACCAAAUAGGCCUCCACAUUGCGUUGCUCGCGUAAGGAGGCGGGUAGGUUGCUCGAGCCAGUGAGUGAUUGCUGGCCUAGACGAAUGGCUACCGCCGCGCAAGCGGAACAGAACCCGGCUUA
This 310-nucleotide RNase P RNA is filed under the name Vibrio parahaemolyticus AQ4037. Its description in RNAcentral is "Bacterial RNase P class A". It matches the Rfam family "Bacterial RNase P class A", at positions 43 to 351 of the family's 367-position model. Rfam says of the family: Ribonuclease P (RNase P) is a ubiquitous endoribonuclease, found in archaea, bacteria and eukarya as well as chloroplasts and mitochondria. The record is from RNAcentral. Lineage: Bacteria; Pseudomonadati; Pseudomonadota; Gammaproteobacteria; Vibrionales; Vibrionaceae.